UCAGCUUGUUGGUGAGGUAAAGGCUCACCAAGGCGACGACGGGUAUCCGGCCCGAGAGGGCGACCGGACACACUGGGACUGAACACGGCCCAGACUCCUACGGGAGGCAGCAGUGGGGAAUAUUGGGCAAUGGACGAAAGUCUGACCCAGCGACGCCGCGUGAGGGAUGAAGGCCUUCGGGUUGUAAAUCUCUUUCAGUAGGGAAGAAGCGAAAGUGACGGUACCUAAAGAAGAAGCACCGGCUAACUAUGUGCCAGCAGCCGCGGUAAUACAUAGGGUGCAAGCGUUGUCCGGAAUUAUUGGGCGUAAAGAGCUCGUAGGUGGUUUGUUGCGUCGGGUGUGAAAUUCAGGGGCUCAACCCCUGACCUGCACUCGAUACGGGCAGACUAGAGUUUGGUAGGGGAGACUGGAAUUCCUGGUGUAGCGGUGGAAUGCGCAUAUAUCAGGAGGAACACCAAUGGCGAAGGCAGGUCUCUGGGCCAAUACUGACACUGAGGAGCGAAAGCGCGGGGAGCGAACAGGAUUAGAUACCCUGGUAGUCCGCGCCG
This 548-nucleotide ribosomal RNA is filed under the name uncultured Actinomycetes bacterium. Its description in RNAcentral is "bacterial SSU rRNA". It matches the Rfam family "Bacterial small subunit ribosomal RNA", at positions 241 to 802 of the family's 1533-position model. Lineage: Bacteria; Bacillati; Actinomycetota; Actinomycetes. The record is from RNAcentral.